GAUGAAGAACGCAGCGAAAUGCGAUAAGUAGUGUGAAUUGCAGAAUUCCGUGAAUCAUCGAAUCUUUGAACGCACAUUGCGCCUUCUGGUAUUCCGGAAGGCAUGCCUGUUCGAGAGUCAUUAACAACCGUUUCGAUCCCUUUCUUUCAGAAAUUACAAAGAGGAAAAGGGUUUGGUUAUGGUGGAGGAGGGAAAGGGAGCGUUUAGCCUGUAAAAAAAGAGGCUGUGUUCCGCCUCCCCCCCAAAAUUGUACAGGCGGUCGUGUGCGCCCACGCAUCGAGGGGUUGUAAAAGCUGCCACGGCACUUUUCACCUGUGCAGUGCGAGAUUGGCCAGCCGGUUUAAAAACCCCUCCAAACAAUCAAAGGUUGACCUCGGAUCAGGUAGGGAUACCCGCUGAACUUAAGCAUAUCAAUAAGCGGAGGA
This 425-nucleotide unclassified non-coding RNA is filed under the name soil metagenome. Its description in RNAcentral is "partial contains 5.8S ribosomal RNA, internal transcribed spacer 2, and large subunit ribosomal RNA". The stretch from base 1 to 120 matches the Rfam family "5.8S ribosomal RNA", at positions 35 to 154 of the family's 154-position model. The record is from RNAcentral.